Long non-coding RNA from Tribolium castaneum (red flour beetle), 833 nucleotides. RefSeq lists it as uncharacterized. The transcript is spliced from 2 exons. The record is from RefSeq and is a predicted model, not a curated record. Lineage: Eukaryota; Metazoa; Arthropoda; Insecta; Coleoptera; Tenebrionidae.
UUUGUGAAUCUGUAUAGUAAAUGUCAUUAUAAAAUCCACACCGGUGCUAAAAUAUCAAUUCGCAAUAAUAGCGUCGUGACAGCAACACGCCGAGUCUCCCCGUGUGGCAACCACAAGCAAUUACCGUAAUGAGGUCAUAACUCUUCCCCUAAAAGCCGGUGGUGGUGGUGGUUCACUGACAAUCCCAUUACCAAAUUACAGCACGCGUGUAUCGCAUUAGCCUUGUCUAUGUGUUUAAACACCUCGCGUGGUUGUAACCCCCUAACUUGAUAAUUUCAUAAUAGCCAAGGGGCGAUAAGAAACAAACUAAAAGAGAGUUGUGUUUUUUAUGUAACUUCAUAAACAGCAAAGGGGCGGAAAAAUCUAGAUCCCUGGGGUGUGAUUCGAUAGUUUUGAACUGAUGUCAACCGAUGUCAUAUCACAAAAAUGGACAGAGAGAGUAUUGGAAAAGACGCACAAUUACCAUUGACUCAGUCGAAAUAUGUUUUGGCCAAAUAUGGAAUACAAGUUAUUGAUCCGCAACAUGAUCCUCUGGAAGAGACGUUUCUGGCGACGGGAAGUGUUACGGACGAUAUGCAUUAUCAUCCAGGACCUAGAGCUAUUGAAUGCAAAGCUGACGCCGGAAAAUUCGGCUGCGACCGCGACAGUUGCAUGCGCGUCCUCUGGUGUUACCUUUUCCCUUGUGCGUUGCUCGAAAGCUGCUUGGUGGCACUUUGCGACUGCUGGUGGGAAUGCUUUAGCGGUUGUCUUCGUCGCAUGGAAGAGCACUAUACGUUCCAAUGUUGCGAAAGGUGUUGUAAACUGCAAGAGAAUUAAAGAGUUAAAAUAACAUG